UCCCUUAGAUGUUCUGGGCCGCACGCGCGCUACACUGAUGCAUUCAACGAGUCUAAAACCUGCUCUGAUAGGGGUGGGUAAUCUUUUGAAUGUGCAUCGUGAUUGGGAUAGAUGAUUGCAAUUUUUCAUCUUCAACGAGGAAUGCCUAGUAAACGCAAGUCAUCAGCUUGCAUUGAUUACGUCCCUGCCCUUUGUACACACCGCCCGUCGCUCCUACCGAUUGAAUGAUCCGAUGAAUAUCAUGGAUUGAGGAUGCAAGUAGGUUCGCCUAUCUUCAUCUUCGAGAAGUGAAGUAAAUCUUAUCAUUUAGAGGAAGGAGAAGUCGUAACA
RNAcentral lists this ribosomal RNA (330 nucleotides) under uncultured eukaryote. RNAcentral describes it as "partial 18S ribosomal RNA". It matches the Rfam family "Eukaryotic small subunit ribosomal RNA", at positions 1469 to 1796 of the family's 1831-position model. The record is from RNAcentral.